AGACCCGAAACCCGGUGAUCUAGCCAUGGGCAGGUUGAAGGUUGGGUAACACUAACUGGAGGACCGAACCGACUAAUGUUGAAAAAUUAGCGGAUGACCUGUGGCUGGGGGUGAAAGGCCAAUCAAACCGGGAGAUAGCUGGUUCUCCCCGAAAGCUAUUUAGGUAGCGCCUCGUGAAUUCAUCUCCGGGGGUAGAGCACUGUUUCGGCUAGGGGGCCAUCCCGGCUUACCAACCCGAUGCAAACUGCGAAUACCGGAGAAUGUUAUCACGGGAGACACACGGCGGGUGCUAACGUCCGUCGUGAAGAGGGAAACAACCCAGACCGCCAGCUAAGGUCCCAAAGUCAUGGUUAAGUGGGAAACGAUGUGGGAAGGCCCAGACAGCCAGGAUGUUGGCUUAGAAGCAGCCAUCAUUUAAAGAAAGCGUAAUAGCUCACUGGUCGAGUCGGCCUGCGCGGAAGAUGUAACGGGGCUAAACCAUGCACCGAAGCUGCGGCAGCGACGCUGAUGCGUUGUUGGGUAGGGGAGCGUUCUGUAAGCCUGUGAAGGUGGCCUGUGAGGGUUGCUGGAGGUAUCAGAAGUGCGAAUGCUGACAUAAGUAACGAUAAAGCGGGUGAAAAGCCCGCUCGCCGGAAGACCAAGGGUUCCUGUCCAACGUUAAUCGGGGCAGGGUGAGUCGACCCCUAAGGCGAGGCCGAAAGGCGUAGUCGAUGGGAAACGGGUUAAUAUUCCCGUACUUGGUGUUACUGCGAAGGGGGGACGGAGAAGGCUAUGUUGGCCGGGCGACGGUUGUCCCGGUUUAAGCGUGUAGGUGUGUGUUCCAGGUAAAUCCGGUUCACUUUAACACUGAGGCGUGAUGACGAGGCACUACGGUGCUGAAGCAACAAAUGCCCUGCUUCCAGGAAAAGCCUCUAAGCAUCAGGUAACAUCAAAUCGUACCCCAAACCGACACAGGUGGUCAGGUAGAGAAUACCAAGGCGCUUGAGAGAACUCGGGUGAAGGAACUAGGCAAAAUGGUGCCGUAACUUCGGGAGAAGGCACGCUGACACGUAGGUGAAGUGAUUUACUCAUGGAGCUGAAGUCAGUCGAAGAUACCAGCUGGCUGCAACUGUUUAUUAAAAACACAGCACUGUGCAAACACGAAAGUGGACGUAUACGGUGUGACGCCUGCCCGGUGCCGGAAGGUUAAUUGAUGGGGUCAGCGCAAGCGAAGCUCCUGAUCGAAGCCCCGGUAAACGGCGGCCGUAACUAUAACGGUCCUAAGGUAGCGAAAUUCCUUGUCGGGUAAGUUCCGACCUGCACGAAUGGCGUAAUGAUGGCCAGGCUGUCUCCACCCGAGACUCAGUGAAAUUGAACUCGCUGUGAAGAUGCAGUGUACCCGCGGCAAGACGGAAAGACCCCGUGAACCUUUACUAUAGCUUGACACUGAACAUUGAGCCUUGAUGUGUAGGAUAGGUGGGAGGCUUUGAAGUGUGGACGCCAGUCUGCAUGGAGCCGGCCUUGAAAUACCACCCUUUAAUGUUUGAUGUUCUAACGUGGACCCGUGAUCCGGGUUGCGGACAGUGUCUGGUGGGUAGUUUGACUGGGGCGGUCUCCUCCUAAAGAGUAACGGAGGAGCACGAAGGUUGGCUAAUCCUGGUCGGACAUCAGGAGGUUAGUGCAAUGGCAUAAGCCAGCUUGACUGCGAGCGUGACGGCGCGAGCAGGUGCGAAAGCAGGUCAUAGUGAUCCGGUGGUUCUGAAUGGAAGGGCCAUCGCUCAACGGAUAAAAGGUACUCCGGGGAUAACAGGCUGAUACCGCCCAAGAGUUCAUAUCGACGGCGGUGUUUGGCACCUCGAUGUCGGCUCAUCACAUCCUGGGGCUGAAGUAGGUCCCAAGGGUAUGGCUGUUCGCCAUUUAAAGUGGUACGCGAGCUGGGUUUAGAACGUCGUGAGACAGUUCGGUCCCUAUCUGCCGUGGGCGCUGGAGAACUGAGGGGGGCUGCUCCUAGUACGAGAGGACCGGAGUGGACGCAUCACUGGUGUUCGGGUUGUCAUGCCAAUGGCACUGCCCGGUAGCUAAAUGCGGAAGAGAUAAGUGCUGAAAGCAUCUAAGCACGAAACUUGCCCCGAGAUGAGUUCUCCCUGAGACUUAGAGUCUCCUGAAGGAACGUUGAAGACGACGACGUUGAUAGGCCGGGUGUGUAAGCGCAGCGAUGCGUUGAGCUAACCGGUACUAAUGAACCGUGAGGCUUAACCUU
Molecule: ribosomal RNA, 2239 nt
Filed under: Salmonella enterica
Lineage: Bacteria; Pseudomonadati; Pseudomonadota; Gammaproteobacteria; Enterobacterales; Enterobacteriaceae
Also listed under: 1 other name
Description: partial 23S ribosomal RNA
Rfam family: Bacterial large subunit ribosomal RNA
Source: RNAcentral